AUUGGAGCUUGGAGCAGGGAGUACAAAGUGGGGAAUUACAACUGGACAGCACAGGGAUGUACAGCAUUGGUAAGGAAUUGGAACGCAAAGUAUCAAAGAAGACGAAGAGGCCCCCACCAGCGAAGGCAACUAAAAAGACAACUGGCAUGGCAAAAACACUACAGCCGCUACAGCCAGUCAAGACUAAGCCAGGAGAGAAGAUCUCAAAGAAGGUCACGAAAAUCCCCUCGAAGAAGAACAAACUCCCCAUCAAUCGCACUCGCAGGGAAAUGGGAAAGCCCAAACCCAUGCAAAAGCCCACUCCCAAGAAGCGUACACAACGGAAGGUCAAGGACGAAGGCGAUAAUUAAGACUCCUUCCUACCAACCGUUCAACCGUUCAAAAUUAUCUGUUACACAACACUUGACGUACACUUCCACACAUUUUACCUUUCUUCCAUUUUCGUCGGAGUUGGAAGGAACUGUUCCAAGCCAGUGAUGGUACCUCCCCACAUCCUCCACUUCCAUGAUGUGAGGAUGUGGGUGAAUGUGGAUGGCAUCACAAACACAUUGUUGCAGCUUCUUCUGCGUAAAAGAUAUACCCAUCCAUCCUUUCAAUCUAUUUUCAACGCAUAAUGAGGGCUUUAACUACACUUUGGACACUCUACUACACAAUUGAUCUAUUUUCAACGCAUAAUGAGGGCUUUAACUACACUUUGGACACUCUACUACACAUGUGAAAACAUGAAUUUCAACGCCAAUGAAUAUUGGAAAAUAUUUGAUGGAACCGCCCCACAAUUUUACGCAUAGAGAAUGUGUGGAGCAGGGGAUCGCAUCACUUUUCCGCUGACACUUGUGAUGGUUAUCGGAAACCAGAAAAGCAAUCCUGGAUACGAUUCUAGGGACUUAGGAUCGCAGAUCUGUUAAAAUUAUUAAAUUAUCGUUAUUAAAUCAAAUGUUGCUUGCAAUAACCAACAUUUUGUUGCAUAUUUUUAAAGUAUUUUGGAGGGGUGGAUUG
Long non-coding RNA from Drosophila subobscura, 996 nucleotides. RefSeq lists it as uncharacterized. The transcript has 5 exons. The record is from RefSeq and is a predicted model, not a curated record. NCBI's taxonomy places the organism in Eukaryota, Metazoa, Arthropoda, Insecta, Diptera, Drosophilidae.